AGAGCGAACGCUGGCGGCAGGCCUAACACAUGCAAGUCGAGCGGCCGUAGCAAUACGGCAGCGGCAGACGGGAUAGUAACACGUGGGAACGUACCCUUCAGUUCGGAACAACCCAGGGAAACUUGGGUUAAUACCGAAUACGUCCGUAAGGAGAAAGAUUUAUCGCUGAGGGAUCGGCCCGCGUCUGAUUAGCUAGUUGGUGAGGUAAUGGCUCACCAAGGCGACGAUCAGUAGCUGGUCUGAGAGGAUGAUCAGCAUCACUGGGACUGAGACACGGCCCAGACUCCUACGGGAGGCAGCAGUGGGGAAUAUUGGACAAUGGGCGCAAGCCUGAUCCAGCCAUGCCGCGUGGAUGAUGAAGGCCCUAGGGUUGUAAAGUCCUUUCGGCGGGGAAGAUAAUGACGGUACCCGCAGAAGAAGCCCCGGCUAACUUCGUGCCAGCAGCCGC
Molecule: ribosomal RNA, 448 nt
Filed under: uncultured bacterium
Lineage: Bacteria
Description: SSU rRNA
Rfam family: Bacterial small subunit ribosomal RNA
Source: RNAcentral